Molecule: long non-coding RNA, 255 nt
Filed under: Pan troglodytes (chimpanzee)
Lineage: Eukaryota; Metazoa; Chordata; Mammalia; Primates; Hominidae
Description: long non-coding RNA NONPTRT012193
Source: RNAcentral
GUUUUGUGCAAAUAUCUGCUGAGUGAACUACUUAUUUGAAAAGACAUCAUUGGUUAAUAUUCCCUUUUGCUCAUUGAAAUCUCAAAGACUACAGGUGUGGUGCAAUUCCAUUAGAUGAAAGAGAUCUACACAUUCAGAAGCACAUGAUUCUUCCCCCUUCCAUGAUUCCAGUGGCCAAUAGGUAAUCAGAACUUCUCUGUUCAGCUAAAAGACAGAAAAAGAGCAUAUGAAAGACGUAUUUUCCCAGAAGUGCUC